GCAGCUCAGUUGGUUAGAGUGUGAAACUGACAAUGCCAAGGUAGUGGGUCCGAUCCCCAUUUGGGACA
Molecule: non-coding RNA, 68 nt
Organism: Podarcis lilfordi (Lilford's wall lizard)
Lineage: Eukaryota; Metazoa; Chordata; Lepidosauria; Squamata; Lacertidae
Source: the annotation of a GenBank genome assembly